RNAcentral lists this ribosomal RNA (62 nucleotides) under uncultured bacterium. RNAcentral describes it as "partial 16S ribosomal RNA". The record is from RNAcentral.
AGCCUUUGACAUCCUAGGACGAUUUCUGGAGACAGAUCUCUUCCCUUCGGGGACCUAGUGAC